GACGAGCGGCGGACGGGUGAGUAAUGCUUGGGAACAUGCCUUUAGGUGGGGGACAACCAUUGGAAACGAUGGCUAAUACCGCAUAAUGUCUACGGACCAAAGGGGGCUUCGGCUCUCGCCUUUAGAUUGGCCCAAGUGGGAUUAGCUAGUUGGUGAGGUAAUGGCUCACCAAGGCAACGAUCCCUAGCUGGUUUGAGAGGAUGAUCAGCCACACUGGAACUGAGACACGGUCCAGACUCCUACGGGAGGCAGCAGUGGGGAAUAUUGCACAAUGGGCGCAAGCCUGAUGCAGCCAUGCCGCGUGUGUGAAGAAGGCCUUCGGGUUGUAAAGCACUUUCAGUUGUGAGGAAAGGUUAGUAGUUAAUACCUGCUAGCUGUGACGUUAGCAACAGAAGAAGCACCGGCUAACUCCGUGCCAGCAGCCGCGGUAAUACGGAGGGUGCGAGCGUUAAUCGGAAUUACUGGGCGUAAAGCGUACGCAGGCGGUUUGUUAAGCGAGAUGUGAAAGCCCCGGGCUCAACCUGGGAACUGCAUUUCGAACUGGUGAACUAGAGUGUGAUAGAGGGUGGUAGAAUUUCAGGUGUAGCGGUGAAAUGCGUAGAGAUCUGAAGGAAUACCGAUGGCGAAGGCAGCCACCUGGGUCAACACUGACGCUCAUGUACGAAAGCGUGGGGAGCAAACGGGAUUAGAUACCCCGGUAGUCCACGCCGUAAACGAUGUCUACUAGGAGUUCGGUUUUUCGGAACUGUCUUCCAAAGCUAACGCAUUAAGUAGACCGCCUGGGGAGUACGGCCGCAAGGUUAAAACUCAAAUGAAUUGACGGGGGGCCCGCACAAGCGGUGGAGCAUGUGGUUUAAUUCGAUGCAACGCGAAGAACCUUACCUACACUUGACAUCCAGA
This 900-nucleotide ribosomal RNA is filed under the name Pseudoalteromonas sp. R4M2. RNAcentral's name for it is "bacterial SSU rRNA". It matches the Rfam family "Bacterial small subunit ribosomal RNA", at positions 90 to 992 of the family's 1533-position model. The record is from RNAcentral. Lineage: Bacteria; Pseudomonadati; Pseudomonadota; Gammaproteobacteria; Alteromonadales; Pseudoalteromonadaceae.